UGUGACUUAAAGUUUAACGGCCGCGGUAUUUUGACCGUGCAAAGGUAGCGCAAUCACUUGUCUUUUAAAUGAAGACCUGUAUGAAUGGCAUCACGAGGGCUUAGCUGUCUCCUUUUUCAAGUCAAUGAAAUUGAUCUUCCCGUGCAGAAGCGGGAAUAAUACUAUAAGACGAGAAGACCCUAUGGAGCUUUAGACCUAGUACAGGCCACGAACAAUACUUUUGAUAAAAAAGAAAAGCUCAAUGGUCUCUGUACAACUGUCUUUGGUUGGGGCGACCGCGGGGAAAAAUAAAACCCCCACGAGGAUUGAGAGUUCUACUCCUAAAACCAAGAGCCACAGCUCUAAGUAACAGAAAUUCUGACCUAAAUGAUCCGGGCAACCGAUCAACGAACCGAGUUACCCUAGGGAUAACAGCGCAAUCCCCUUCCAGAGCCCAUAUCGACAAGGGGGUUUACGACCUCGAUGUUGGAUCAGGACAUCCUAAUGGUGCAGCCGCUAUUAAGGGUUCGUUUGUUCAACGAUUAAAGUCCUACGUGAUCU
Molecule: ribosomal RNA, 540 nt
Filed under: Zeus capensis (Cape dory)
Lineage: Eukaryota; Metazoa; Chordata; Actinopteri; Zeiformes; Zeidae
Description: partial 16S ribosomal RNA
Rfam family: Bacterial large subunit ribosomal RNA
Source: RNAcentral